Molecule: long non-coding RNA, 1486 nt
Organism: Dipodomys spectabilis (banner-tailed kangaroo rat)
Lineage: Eukaryota; Metazoa; Chordata; Mammalia; Rodentia; Heteromyidae
Exons: 2
Source: RefSeq, a predicted model, not a curated record
GUCCCCGCCGGGCCGGCGGUGGGGCGGAAGGGGGGAAAGACAGAGUUAGGCGAGGCCGGUGGGGACGUGGGCAGCAGGGGGCUGGGGAGGACAGGGGCGGGGGAUGGCGACGAGGACGGCGGCCUGCAGCCCUCGGGCCAGGCUGUGCCUUCUGCCUGCUGGACCGAGGGCACCUGACCGCCCGGGCGGGGGUGGGGGCCUCACUGGGCCCCGAGUCCUGGCAUUGGGGAUCAGGAGGAAAGCAGACAGGCGGGAAAAACUGGAGGCAGGUGGGGUUGGGCCGUGGAGGCCCUGGAGACGAGCUUGCCCGGCCGUGGGUGCCGCUGGGCACGGAGGGGGCUGACUCUGAACUUGGCAAUGCCAGCAUCCCCUUUUUUUUUCCAGACAAAGGGGAUGAGGCCUGGUCUUGUGGAGACUGGACUUAGCUUCGCCGGGCUGACCGCUCUGGCCCAGGGUGGUGUCAGUUCCCCACCCUGGACUUUGCCUAGAUUUGGUGCUAACCUCUCCUGUGAGCUCACUUUGCCCUCUCUCCUCCCUCUUAACUCUGAGGUUAUCCAUCCCUUAAAACCUUUCUGGUCAUCUGGUAAGCUUGGGGAAGUCAGGAGUCGUUGGAGGCGGUAUUGGUAUUGGUAACGGAGUCGUGAAGGAAACGCCCUGGCUGAGUGGGCUUGGGGGUGGGGUGGGGUUGCUUUGGCUGAGGGUGGAAACUGAACCUUGCCACUCUUGGAUGGGCUUCUACAGCAGUGGUUUCCACCGGAGGUCACCGGCCGUGGUUUGUUACUGUAGUGUUCAUCAUGGCGAACAGAUGGCACCCGGAGAAAUGGAGCCCUCCCCCCCUGCAGGUGUGCGUCGUAGCUGUGCAGGAGGGGAGGCCUGGAGGAUGCAGCCCGCUUAAAUUGACGCCUGCAGAUUGAAUUCCAGAGUCUUAGGAGGAGGAGGUGCUCCAGUGCCAAGUGUGCAGCUAAGCCUGGCUCAGGAAGCCCUGUAUUCAGGCAGCCACCAGCCAUUUUAAGUUCAUGAGCUUUGCGGAGGGGGUGGGGGGGGAUGGUGGUGGAAGGGAGGCAAUCCAAAAAGGCCAAAGCAGAUACAUCCGCUUCUGAGGGGCCAUCAGCUUUGAAUGAAUGUUCUGGGAGCACCAUUCUCCAGGCGCAGGAAUGGCAGCUGGCAUCCCCUUCUUUCCUGGGGAAGAGAGGUUUUCACAUGCUGCAUCUUCUGUAUUGAGCAUCCAGUCAUUCUAGUUUUGUGCUCCAACUUUGCUUCGAGAAGAUUCUUAAGCAGUAGAACAGUGUAAACGUUGAUGCCACAGCGCAGAAAGACACGUCCUGUAGAGACAGUUGCAUAUGGAGCCCAGAGGGACCUCACCACGUGCCUGUGUUUUGGCUGGAGAAAUUCUUAAUGUGCCUAUAGAACUUUUGGGUGGUGGGGAAAGCUGUUCAAUUUUAAAUGCCUCAGGCAGAGGGAACUUUAUUAAACAUUGUCAAAUGGG